GUGGGGAAUCUUCCACAAUGGACGAAAGUCUGAUGGAGCAACGCCGCGUGAGUGAAGAAGGGUUUCGGCUCGUAAAGCUCUGUUGUCGGGGACGAAUGUGCAGUAUUUGAAUAAAGUACUGCAAUGACGGUACCUGAUGAGGAAGCCACGGCUAACUACGUGCCAGCAGCCGCGGUAAUACGUAGGUGGCAAGCGUUGUCCGGAAUUAUUGGGCGUAAAGGGAGCGCAGGCGGGAAGGUAAGUCGGUCUUAAAAGUGCGGGGCUCAACCCCGUGAUGGGAUCGAAACUAUCUUUCUUGAGUGCAGGAGAGGAAAGUGGAAUUCCUAGUGUAGCGGUGAAAUGCGUAGAUAUUAGGAGGAACACCAGUGGCGAAGGCGACUUUCUGGACUGUAACUGACGCUGAGGCUCGAAAGCCAGGGGAGCGAACGGGAUUAGAUACCCCGGUAGUCC
Molecule: ribosomal RNA, 450 nt
Filed under: uncultured bacterium
Lineage: Bacteria
Description: partial 16S ribosomal RNA
Rfam family: Bacterial small subunit ribosomal RNA
Source: RNAcentral